RNAcentral lists this ribosomal RNA (459 nucleotides) under uncultured bacterium. Its description in RNAcentral is "partial 16S ribosomal RNA". It matches the Rfam family "Bacterial small subunit ribosomal RNA", at positions 338 to 795 of the family's 1533-position model. The record is from RNAcentral.
CCUACGGGAGGCAGCAGUGAGGAAUAUUGGUCAAUGGCCGCAGGGCUGAACCAGCCAAGUCGCGUGAGGGAUGACGGUCCUAUGGAUUGUAAACCUCUUUUGUCAGGGAGCAAAGGGCGCCACGUGUGGCGCUUUGCGAGUACCUGACGAAAAAGCAUCGGCUAACUCCGUGCCAGCAGCCGCGGUAAUACGGAGGAUGCGAGCGUUAUCCGGAUUUAUUGGGUUUAAAGGGUGCGCAGGCGGAAUGUCAAGUCAGCGGUAAAAUUUCGGGGCUCAACCCCGUCGUGCCGUUGAAACUGGCGUUCUUGAGUGAGCGAGAAGUAGGCGGAAUGCGUGGUGUAGCGGUGAAAUGCAUAGAUAUCACGCAGAACUCCGAUUGCGAAGGCAGCAUACCGGCGCUCAACUGACGCUCAUGCACGAAAGCGUGGGUAUCGAACAGGAUUAGAUACCCUAGUAGUC